CCCCACCACUUUAUAUUCUAUUGCACAUGCUCGAAAUCGAAAUUACACUUAUUCCCAUAACCCACCACUAGACUUGCUUGUAAGAGAGAUUCUCCUCUUCUCUUUCUCCACCUCCAUUUUCUUCUCUCCACCUCUUCCCCCUUUUUUUUNCCUCGACUAACCACCGAUGAAACAAAAAACCUCAUCUCAAUAUAUUCUUCUCUUCCUUUUG
RNAcentral lists this unclassified non-coding RNA (211 nucleotides) under Hevea brasiliensis (rubber tree). Lineage: Eukaryota; Viridiplantae; Streptophyta; Magnoliopsida; Malpighiales; Euphorbiaceae. The record is from RNAcentral.